CUGCUGCCUCCCGUAGGAGUCUGGGCCGUGUCUCAGUCCCAGUGUGGGGGGCCUUCCUCUCAGAACCCCUACGCAUCGUCGCCACGGUGGGCCGUCACCCCGCCGUCUAGCUAAUGCGCCGCAUGCCCAUCCGCCACCGGAUCCGCUCCUUUGGCCACCGGAGGAUGCCCUCCGGUGGCGUCACGGGGUAUUAGGCCGCGUUUCCGCGGGUUAUCCCCCUGUGGCGGCCAGGUUGCAUACGUGUUACUCACCCGUGCGCCGGUCGCCGGCGGG
This 273-nucleotide ribosomal RNA is filed under the name uncultured bacterium. RNAcentral's name for it is "partial 16S ribosomal RNA". The record is from RNAcentral.